This 1336-nucleotide ribosomal RNA is filed under the name metagenome. RNAcentral describes it as "bacterial SSU rRNA". It matches the Rfam family "Archaeal small subunit ribosomal RNA". The record is from RNAcentral.
GAUAAUCUGCCCUAUGGUUCGAGAUAACGUUGGGAAACUGACGCUAAUAUCGAAUAGAGGAUUGAGGCUGGAAUGCACUCUCCUUGAAACUUUGGCCAUAGGAUGAGUUGGCGGCUGAUUAGGCUGUUGGUGAGGUAACGGCUCACCAAAACCUGCAAUCAGUAGGGGAGAUGAGAGUCUUGGCCUCGAGAAGGACACUGAGAUACUGGUCCUAGCCCUAAGGGGUGCAGCAGUCACGGAACCUUUACAAUGCGCGAAAGCGUGAUAAGGGGAUCCCAAGUGCUUUGCCAACGGUAAGGCUUUUGUCAAGUGUAAGAAGCUUGUUGAAUAAAGGGUGGGUAAGACUGGUGCCAGCCGCCGCGGUAACACCAGCGCCCUGAGUAGUGAUCGCGUUUAUUGGGUCUAAAGCGUUCGUAGCCGGUUUGAUAAAUCUUUUGUGAAAUUGUUGGGCUUAACUCAACGACGUGCAAGAAAGACUGUUAGGCUUGAGACCGGGAGGAGGCAGAGGUAUUCUGGGGGGAGCGGUAAAAUGUUAUAAUCCCCAGAGGACCACCAGUGGCGAAGGCUUCUGUCUAGAACGGAUCUGACGGUGAGGAACGAAGGCUAGGGGAGCAAAAUGGAUUAGAUACCCAAGUAGUCCUAGCUGUAAACGCUGCGAGCUGAGUGGUGCGUAUUCUAUAUGGAUAUGCAUGGCUUAAACGAAGGUGUUAAGCUCGCCACCUGGGAAGUAUAGUCGCAAGGCCGAAACUUAAAGGAAUUGGCGGGAGCUCACUACAAGGAGUGCGGCGUGCGGUUCAAUCUAAUUAUACGCAGAAAAUCUCACCAGGAGCGACGGCAGAAUGAAGGUCAGAUUGAAGGUUUUACCUGACAAGCCGAGAGGUGGUGCAUGGCUGCCGUCAGUUCGUGCCGUGAGGUGUUACGUUAAGUCGUAAAACGAACAAGACCCAUGCUUACAUUUGCCAGCAUUUUCUACGGAAAGAAUGGGCACAAUGUGGGGACUGCUCUCGAAAGGGAGAGGAAGGUGUGGGCAACGGUAGGUCUGUAUGCCCCGAACCUCCUGGGCUACACGCGCGCAACAAUGGUAAGGACAAUAGGAUGCAACUCUGAAAAGAGAAGCUAAUCCCCUAAACCUUAUCUUAGUUCAAAUUGAGGACUGUAAUUCGUUCUCAUGACGAUGGAAUUCCUAGUAAUCGGGUUUCAACACGACCCGGUGAACACGUCCCUGAGCUUUGCACACACUGCCCGUCAAGCCAACCGAGCAGGGCUUGGGUGAGGAUUAAUUUUUUGAUUAAUUCGAAUCUAAGUUCAGUGAGGUGGGUUAAGUCGUCACAAGGUC